Long non-coding RNA from Pseudoliparis swirei, 2199 nucleotides. RefSeq lists it as uncharacterized. Lineage: Eukaryota; Metazoa; Chordata; Actinopteri; Perciformes; Liparidae. The record is from RefSeq and is a predicted model, not a curated record. The transcript is spliced from 2 exons.
UGUCGCAGAUAGCAUCGUUAUCCCCGAAGGGCAGAGCAGGACGUGCUGCAUGAGUGUGCGAUGCCUUGCGUCGAGUGAGCCCCGAAUCCCGUCGUCGAAUCUGGGUCAGGAAGACGAGCUUCUCCUCAAUGGGCAAUACCAGUAUCACCGAGGGGAAGACGGCCUUGACGUUGGGCAACACCACGAUCAAGAGGGGAAAGUCCAGGAUCGCCAUGGGGAGCUCCUCCAUCAGCAGGGACAAGCGCACAACAUCGUUGGGGUCCUCCACCAUCACCAGUGGAAAGACCAAGAUCGCCCUGGGGGGCGCCUCCUUCAGCAGAGGCACCACCACCACCUCUUUUCGGAAAGUUCUCUUCCCCAAAAGCGUAACCAAACGCAAGACGCUCUAGAUGAAAGGGGACCUGGUCGAGGGGUGGGGGGACUGGCACAAAAUGUCCGAAGAAAGAAGAAGAAAGAAGCACCAUCACAGAGAACAUUUGGACACCACGACAUCAUCUGCACAGAGUCUGUUCCAACUGAGAGCCAAAACUGGAUUAGAUUUACCGAUGGACCGUUGACUGCUUUUUGGUCAUGUCGGAUUUAUCAAGGAAACAGGUUCCCCCGUGACCACGGCAACAACGCUCCGGCAGUCGCGGAUGACGGCACGAGAGCUCUAUAGCCAGACCAGAGCAACAACACAGUAAAUGUUAAACACCACAAUUUGCCUCGUGACUGUUUCACAAUAUUUGGCCUCAGAUAAACAAACUGGAGUUGUAUGAAAAUUCCCACUCACUUCAGAAAGCCUCAUACCUGCCAUGUUAAUAUCAAACCUGUUGCUAGUGGCAACAUCACAGGGACAUAGAUGACGAUGACACUGCUGUCACUGUGGACAUCAUAAACAUCACACAGUGUCUUCGGUGGUGAUGUGCAUGCAUCCCCUCGGUCUGCAGUUUUCUUUCACCUGACCGCGGCAGACUCUUUCAUUAUUCCUCCAUUAUUAUUCUUAAUUUGAAAGUCUUUCCUGUAAUGCCUCUGAGACCCGUACACAGGCCUCUUGCAGAAACUGUUCCUUGUGGUGGUGCAAAUGUUUGAUCAGGUUUUCCUUAAUUAUACACAAAUGUCUUUUGCUGUACAUAUGUGUUUCUAAUUCAAAUGGGCUCCUUCAGUUAAGUAAGACACUGUAAACGAGGCACUGAAACAUUGAGAAGACCUGGUUAUGGUGACCCAGAUCAUGUGAAUACACUUGUUUCUUCUUUUUUCUUUAGAGGACUGUGAUGCCAGUUUGACUUUGUGAUGCCCCCCCCCCUCCCCCUCCCCCAACCCCUACCCCCCUCUUGUAAUAGACGGGAACUGAAUUUCUUGAUCCCCCAAAAAACAACCCUCCUUUCCUGAAGUCCCACCAAAAAGUCAUAACUUUGUCACACGACUUGUUGGGAGUUGAAAUAAUCUCUGUGUGUGCCGAUUGGAUUUUAAACGUGUAUGAUGUGACAGUGAAGGAGAAUAGGUCAAACUUGAUACAUAUCUGUAUUGAAGGCUUGGCCUGGUGUACUAAUGUUGCACUAACGUCAGCUUACUGACUGGAGCCGAGCAGCCGAGAUGCCGAGCAGCUGCGGCUCAGCGGCCCGACCGAGCCUGGAUCCCGAACCCUGCGCCAACACCACGUCCAGCCUGCUUCUACGCACAGCCGGGGCCCCGCUGCCGACUCAGGGUCUCUCUCCAAUGAGACGGCACGGACACACAACAACCUUCGACGACUUGAAUCAACUCUCACCAGAACGGCAUCGAAAAGAAAAACAUUUUUAAGAAACCAAGAUGCAGAGAGAAGCAGAUCUGACAGCGAAGGCGUCGCCCUGCAGCUGAAACUAACCCAUGUCAUGUUGUUAAUUAGAGAAUGGAAAGAAAUGGUGUAGUUCGCAUUACUGAUGGAAAGCUGUUUGAGAUUUAUUUCUGUCUCGUCCUUAUUUCUGUCUCGUCCUCGUGCGUCGGUCAUUAAAAUGAUAAAAUGAUUAAACUAGCAUUAGCAACGGUCAGGCCAACCUGAAAACAACGGUGUUUCUGUUCCCUCACCCUCUGUGUUGUGAGUCCAUCGUGAGAAUUUUUCUUUUUUUGCAUGCAUGCUCUGUGUGAUGUUGUGUUGUUUGGCUUCACUGUGACACUAACACUGCAGACAGGACCUUGAACAGGAAGGUACUGGAAUAAAAAGGCUUGAUUGUGUGUCUA